Molecule: ribosomal RNA, 449 nt
Filed under: uncultured bacterium
Lineage: Bacteria
Description: partial 16S ribosomal RNA
Rfam family: Bacterial small subunit ribosomal RNA
Source: RNAcentral
AACGAACGCUGGCGGCAUGCCUAACACAUGCAAGUCGAACGAGAUCUUCGGGUCUAGUGGCGCACGGGUGCGUAACGCGUGGGAAUCUGCCCUUUGGUUCGGAAUAGCAGUUGGAAACGACUGCUAAUACCGGAUGAUGACGAAAGUCCAAAGAUUUAUCGCCAGAGGAUGAGCCCGCGUAGGAUUAGCUAGUUGGUGUGGUAAAGGCGCACCAAGGCGACGAUCCUUAGCUGGUCUGAGAGGAUGAUCAGCCACACUGGGACUGAGACACGGCCCAGACUCCUACGGAAGGCAGCAGUGGGGAAUAUUGGACAAUGGGCGAAAGCCUGAUCCAGCAAUGCCGCGUGAGUGAUGAAGGCCUUAGGGUUGUAAAGCUCUUUUACCCGGGAUGAUAAUGACAGUACCGGGAGAAUAAGCUCCGGCUAACUCCGUGCCAGCCGCCGCGGUAA